CUACCAAAACAAUAAAAAGAAAAAAGCCUACAGUGUAUGACCAUUCCAUGUGAUUUGAUUUUGUCAAUUACAAUCUCUAUCCUUCCCUUUUGUGCAAGUGUAGAAACAUGGACGGACAACUUUGUCAUUUUCACGUCCGCGUUAAUUGCUAAUUCAAAUGGUCACUGACGUGUCAACAAUGACAACGACCAAGGGACCCACCACAAAGCCAGCGGUUGAAAUUUUUAUUAUAAUGGGGGUGGGAAUGCCUCUCAAACAAAGCAUUAUAUACUUGUUUAAGAUUGUUUUGGAUUUGAAGGCCGACUUUCGGUUGAAGUGGACGGGUUCACGAAUUCUACAACGAUUUCUUUACAUUCAAUUUUCUCCGAUGAUCGUACUGAAUUUCGGUCUGGUCCUCAAUUUUUCCCAUCGAAUUGAUUCAAUUUUGAGAAAUUUGGAUAAAACACCAAAAGUAAGAACGAAUCCAAAAAAAAAAAAAAUUGUAGAGUACCUACUAACACGAAGAAAAUAAAGUCUCGACCUAGAUGCAGCACACUCGAAAAAUGAUCGAGCAAACUAAUAGAUUAGACAAUAAAAUGAAAAAUAAAUAAAAACUCCAAAUAAUCCUAGAAUGGACUGAAGGAAAUGUAAAUCACAUGUAUUCAAAAGACUUGCACAGGAUCCUCCUUUUCCUUCAAAACUGAGAUGUUAAACAAGAUUCUAACAGGAAAAAAAUUUUGUACACUAGUAAAACGAUUCCUCUGUUUGAAGAUUAAAUUUCAGAGAGCAUCACACUACCUACUAAAAUUAAGUUUCAGAGAACAGGAUGAUCAGGGCAAAC
Molecule: long non-coding RNA, 820 nt
Filed under: Olea europaea (common olive)
Lineage: Eukaryota; Viridiplantae; Streptophyta; Magnoliopsida; Lamiales; Oleaceae
Description: long non-coding RNA (OEUR_LNC006026)
Source: RNAcentral